RNAcentral lists this ribosomal RNA (490 nucleotides) under uncultured bacterium. Its description in RNAcentral is "partial 16S ribosomal RNA". It matches the Rfam family "Bacterial small subunit ribosomal RNA", at positions 30 to 507 of the family's 1533-position model. The record is from RNAcentral.
AUUGAACGCUGGCGGCAGGCCUAACACAUGCAAGUCGAACGGUAACAGGAAGCAGCUUGCUGCUUCGCUGACGAGUGGCGGACGGGUGAGUAAUGUCUGGGAAACUGCCUGAUGGAGGGGGAUAACUACUGGAAACGGUAGCUAAUACCGCAUAACGUCGCAAGACCAAAGAGGGGGACCUUAGGGCCUCUUGCCAUCGGAUGUGCCCAGAUGGGGUUAGCUAGUAGGUGGGGUAACGGCUCACCUAGGCGACGAUCCCUAGCUGGUCUGAGAGGAUGACCAGCCACACUGGAACUGAGACACGGUCCAGACUCCUACGGGAGGCAGCAGUGGGGAAUAUUGCACAAUGGGCGCAGGCCUGAUGCAGCCAUGCCGCGUGUAUGAAGAAGGCCUUCGGGUUGUAAAGUACUUUCAGCGGGGAGGAAGGGAGUAAAGUUAAUACCUUUGCUCAUUGACGUUACCCGCAGAAGAAGCACCGGCUAACUCCGUG